Long non-coding RNA from Archocentrus centrarchus (flier cichlid), 269 nucleotides. RefSeq lists it as uncharacterized. Lineage: Eukaryota; Metazoa; Chordata; Actinopteri; Cichliformes; Cichlidae. The transcript has 3 exons. The record is from RefSeq and is a predicted model, not a curated record.
AGAAGACAAACACAUGCACAGAGUAAGAGGGCGGGGCUACUUGGCCUGUGUCUGUAACACAUCAGUGAGACGCACAAUGGAGGAAACAUGUGUGCAGCGUGUGCUCUUUCUGAUCUCACUGCUGAGCUGCACCACAGACCAAGCUCGUCUGACUGUGAGUCCCAGCAACUCUCAGUUCUUUAAAAGAGACUUUGUGACUCUGAGCUGUGAGGAGGACGACAGCUCUGCUGGAUGGACUCUGAGGAGAAACACAAGCAAACGACAGAGGA